UUUAUUUGUGGUUCAGGCCUAUAAUCAAGUAAGCCCAGUGUGCCCUGAUAGUUGUAAGAAAAAGUGUCUUCCAGGAAGAGAGAGGAGCAUGAGGACAGGAGUAAUGAGCCAGUCCUGGCACGGAGGGCUGGAUGAUUAGAGGUAAAUCUCCAGAAUCAGAGAAAGUGAAGCUAGUUCUGAAAGACAAAAGAUUAUUCAGUGUUGAAAGUGAAUAAGGUUUGAGGCAACAGUGAAUCCGGAAGAAGACCCUGGUCUGCCUUGACAGGGCACAUGGUGGAAUUCUCCAAGGUGUGGAAUCAAACUACAUGUCCAUCAUCAGGUGAAUGGAUAAGGAAAAGAGUGGAAAUUAGAAGUUUAUUAAAGGACAGCAGAAAAGACUUCUCCCGGAGUAAGAAGGGGACCUAAGAGAUGGAAUCCCUCUACAGUUCUCUAUCCUCAGGAAAAUUGUGUUGAUAUGGAGAGUUUACAUGAAACUGGGAAGCAAAGUCAUGAACCUUUUUCCUGAGUAUCUGGAUUUGAAGUUAGUCCAGGAGUGCUUUUAGAUUGUGAAAAAUUGUGCUGUAAAUGGGUAAUAAUGAGUGUAAUGCAUUCCACUAUU
Molecule: long non-coding RNA, 598 nt
Organism: Marmota monax (woodchuck)
Lineage: Eukaryota; Metazoa; Chordata; Mammalia; Rodentia; Sciuridae
Exons: 3
Source: RefSeq, a predicted model, not a curated record